CAGGAAGGAGUCCCUGCUUCCCCAACUGCAGCACAGCAUGGACAGUAUCCACUCCUCCUCCAGUCCAAGCUGACUGUAAGUGAGAGAGUGUGUGCUGUGUGUAACUGUGAUUGUGACUGUCUUUGACUGUGUGUGUGAGCGUGUGACUAUCUGUGACUGUGUGAGUGACUGUCUGCCUGUGAUUGUCUGUGUGACUCUGUGUGUGUGACUGUCUGUCUGUGACUGUGUGUGUGUGUGUGUGUGACUGUCUGUCUGUGACUGUGUGUGUGUGUGUGUAUGUGUGACUGUCUGCCUGUAAUUGUGUGUGUGUAACUGUCUGCCUGUGAUUGUGUGUGCAUGUGUGACUGUGUGACUGCCUGUCUAUGAUUGUGUUUGUGUAUAUCUGUGAUUAUGUGAGUGAUUGUGUGUAUCUCUGUGUAUGUGUUUAGUAGAUAGCUCCCUUAUUUGGUGACUGUCUGUGACUGUGUGUGUGACUGCCUGUGUGUGUGUGUGUGUGUGAGAAACCGUCUGCCUGUGAUGGUGUGUGUGUGUGACUGUCUGCCUGUGAUUGUGUGUGUGUGUGUGACUGUCUGCCUAGGAUUGUGUGUGUGUGACUGUGUGUGUGUAUGUGUGACUGUUUGCCUGUGUGACUAUCUGCCUGUGAUUGCAUGCGUGCAUGUGUGUGUGUGUGACUGUCUGUGACUGUGUGUGUGUAUAUGUGACUGCGUGUUUGACUGUCUGCCUGUAAUUGUGUGUGAGUGACUGUGUGUGGGACUGUGUGCAUCUGACUGUGUCUGACGGUCUUUGCCCUGCAGUGAGACGGCAGUCGGGAUCUGGUGUCAUCGCGGCCUCGGCUUCAUUACAGGGCAUGCGAGGGACCUGUGCAGGAAGAGCACAGAGAACCCAGCAGCAACCACUGACCACCAGGGACUGAGGAUCCACUCCAGCCCUUCUAGAGCAAGGUAGGGAGGCUGGGUGGACCUCUUAUUUAUUAAAUGUGUGUAUGUAUGUAUGUAAUGUUUGUGUGUGUAUGUGAUUGUGUGUCUGUGAUUGUAUGUGUGUGGGUCUGUGAUUGUGUUUGUGUAUAUCUGUGAUUUUGUGUGUGAUUGUGUGUAUCUCUGUGUAUGUGUUUAGUAGAUAGCUCCCUUAUUUGGUGUCCUUAAAUAUUGCAAUAUAAGGAUAACAAAUAAGGGAUUUAUUUACUAAACAACUGAAAAUAAGAAAAGGGCUUUUUAAAUUUUGAUCCUUUAGCUGUUUAGUAGAUAAUUCCCUGAAUUGGUGCCCGUAUGCGAGAUUUCCAUAUUUAAAGAUACCAAAUGAGGAUGCUGUUUAGCAGAUAGUUCCCUUAUUUGGUGUCCUUAAAUAUGGCAAGCCCAAAUAAGGAUAGCAAAUAGGGGAGUUAUCUGCUAAACAAAGAUCGAAGUUAACAGGUGUCAGCCAGCCCACAACAAGAAAUCUGGGUGGCUAAUGUGAAUUAUAUGCAAAUGUGUUGUCAGAUGCCAGCAUGCAGAGCACAGUGUGUAUAUGUAUCUGCGUGUGUGUAUGUCCGUGUAUGUGUAUAUGUGCAAGCAUCUCAAAAUCUCGCCAACACUACACACAAAUACACUCAUGCAUUUCAACGUCAACAUUACAUACAAACCCCACCAUUAUAUAUAACCACAUCACUGCAUUCAAAUACCACACAACACACAAAUGCAUGCUUGCAUUCAAACACCAACACUACAUACAAACACACCCCUACAUUCACUCACACAUACUCAUAGAAACAUAGAAACAUAGAAUGUGACGGCAGAUAAGAACCAUCUGGCCCAUCAAGUCUGCCCAAUUUUCUAAAUACUUUCAUUAGUCCCUGGCCUUAUCUUAUAGUUAGGAUAGCCUUAUGCCUAUCCCACGCAUGCUUAAACUCCUUUACUGUGUUAACCUAUACCACUUCAGCUGGAAGGCUAUUCCAUGCAUCCACUACCCUCUCAGUAAAGUAAUACUUCCUGAUAUUAUUUUUAAACCUUUUCCCUCUAAUUUAAUACUAUGUCCUCUUGUUGUGCUAGUUUUUCUUCUUUUAAAUAUAGUCUCCUCCUUUACUGUGUUGAUUCCCUUUAUAUAUUUAAAUGUUUCUAUCAUAUACCCCUGUCUCGUCUUUCCUCCAAGCUAUACAUGUUAAGAUCCUUUAACAUUUCCUGGUAAGUUUUAUCCCGCAAUCCAUGAACCAGUUUAGUAGCCCUUCUCUGAACCCUCUCUAAGGUAUCAAUAUCCUUCUGAAGAUACUGUCUCCAGUACUGUGUACAAUACUCCAAGUGAGGUCUCACCAGUGUUCUGUACAAUGGCAUGAGCACUUCCCUCUUUCUACUGCUAAUACCUCUCCCUAUACAACCAAGCAUUCUGCUAGCAUUUCCUGCUGCUCUAUUACAUUGUCUGCCUACCUUUAAGUCAUCAGAAAUAAUCACCCCUAAAUCCCUUUCCUCAUAUGUUGAGGUUAGGACUCUAUCAAAUAUUCUGUACUCUGCCCUUGGGUUUUUACGUCCAAGAUGCAUUAUCUUGCACUUAUCCACAUUAAAUGUCAGUUGCCACAAUUCUGACCAUUUUUCUAGUUUACCUAAAUCAUUUGCCAUUUGGCUUAUCCCUCCUGGAACAUCAACCCUGUUACAUAUCUUAGUAUCAUCAGCAAAAAGACAUACCUUACCAUCAAGACCUUCUGCAAUAUCACUAAUACAAAUAUUAAAGAGAAUGGGUCCAAGUACAGAUCCCCGAGGUACCCCACUGGUGACAAGUCCAAGCUUCAAAUAUAUUCCAUUAACUGCAACCCUCUGUUGCCUGUCACUCAGCCACUGCCUUACCCAUUCAACAAUAUUAGAAUCCAAACUUAAAGGUUGCAGUUUAUUGAUACUCCAUACAAAAACAUGCAUACAUUCACACACAAACACUGCUCAGUGCUAAAUACAUUAAAAACAUGUUGGUUGUUUUUACAUUUAAAGUUGAGGGGGUGCCAAACAUAGGACCUGCCUCGGUUGCCAACUGCUCUUGGUACGCCCCUGGUUAAUAGUGUUUGUGUGUUAAUAGCAGUAUGUGGGUGUGUGUGUAUGGGAGUGUGUAGCUGUGUGUAAAUAGAAGUAUGUAAGUGUUUGUAUGUAUGGGAGUGUUAGCUCUGUGUAAAUGGCAGUAUACAUGUGUUUGUAUUAUGUGGGAAUAAUCAGCUAACUGGAAAUUAUACAAAAUAUACAAAACAAAAUGCAGAAUAGUGUGGGAAAUCUAAAAAAAAAGUAAAGAAAGAAUUUCUUGCUUUAAGAUGAUAAUUAGAAGAUUCUAUAUUCCCAAGAAAACAUAUAUGACCAUCACUAAUGCAGCUUUUCUUCUGGCACUAAUAAAUAUCUUCUCUUCUGCCAGAAACUCAGAAACAACUAACUUGUAUAUUUCCCCUGGCAGCCAAUAGUUCUAAGAUCCAGAGAGAGACAGCUGCACUUUAAUAAGGCUAAGGCAAUUCUCGAGUUCCGAAAUGCCUCAUUCUAUCUAUUCAUUUUUCAUUUCAAAGUUUUCUUUAAAGUUUCACUUACCUGUAGGAUGGUAAGAGCUUCGACAGUCCUCGCCAGUUGCUAAAUGCAACCUUGGCUAGGAAUUUUGAUAUUGUUCGAUAUGCUACAUGGGUACGUUGGAAAGUUAUUUGGCCCUGAAGCACAUAGUGUUUAGAUCUUGAGAAAUUAAGAAAUAAGAAAAAAUAUAUUAUUAUUAUUUGUUGAGAAAAUGUUUUACUAGGAAAAACUACACUCAAACGGUAUUAUCUUGAUACAAGGAUAAUUCUUUUACAUCUACAGAACAUAGACAACAAUUAGCAGCCGAGCAAUGUUUGGUUUAUUUGGAGACAGUGUUAUUUUCAAAGAUUUCAGAUUUCUGGACGAUUUGAC
Non-coding RNA from Pelobates cultripes (western spadefoot toad), 3872 nucleotides. The record is from the annotation of a GenBank genome assembly. Lineage: Eukaryota; Metazoa; Chordata; Amphibia; Anura; Pelobatidae.